Molecule: transfer RNA, 75 nt
Filed under: Arthrobacter phage Zaheer
Lineage: Duplodnaviria; Heunggongvirae; Uroviricota; Caudoviricetes
Description: tRNA-Gly
Rfam family: tRNA
About the family: Transfer RNA (tRNA) molecules are approximately 80 nucleotides in length. Their secondary structure includes four short double-helical elements and three loops (D, anti-codon, and T loops). Further hydrogen bonds mediate the characteristic L-shaped molecular structure. tRNAs have two regions of fundamental functional importance: the anti-codon, which is responsible for specific mRNA codon recognition, and the 3' end, to which the tRNAs corresponding amino acid is attached (by aminoacyl-tRNA synthetases). tRNAs cope with the degeneracy of the genetic code in two manners: having more than one tRNA (with a specific anti-codon) for a particular amino acid; and 'wobble' base-pairing, i.e. permitting non-standard base-pairing at the 3rd anti-codon position.
Source: RNAcentral
AGGCCCGUAGCUCAGUCAGGCAGAGCAGCCCGACCCCCCAUAGGGAAGACCCCGGUUCGAAUCCGGGAGGGCCAC